Molecule: long non-coding RNA, 254 nt
Filed under: Coccomyxa subellipsoidea
Lineage: Eukaryota; Viridiplantae; Chlorophyta; Trebouxiophyceae; Coccomyxaceae
Description: long non-coding RNA (CSUB_LNC000120)
Source: RNAcentral
UUAUAUUUUGGCAAUAUCAAAUAAGUCUACCAGAUUUCAGAACGUAUUCCCAGGACAUUUAUGUCCUAAUUCCUGGAUACAGACUUCUGACUAAGCAAGAUCUGACACUCAAACAGUGUUUGACAAACACCGUUGUCUUGUCGCGAGUAAACCUUAUUGUGUUGGCCUUGGUAAUUAUCUCACUUAGAAACUUACCAGGAUAUCGCGUCCGUCAAGGUCGUUCAAGGUCAUCAGAAGUGCCUUUUCAGCUGUAG